This is an RNA transcript of Humulus lupulus (European hop), 1808 nucleotides long. It is a transcript of the gene named GDSL esterase/lipase At5g14450-like, with no coding region annotated. The transcript has 7 exons. The record is from RefSeq and is a predicted model, not a curated record. NCBI's taxonomy places the organism in Eukaryota, Viridiplantae, Streptophyta, Magnoliopsida, Rosales, Cannabaceae.
ACUAUUUUGAUAAUCUCUACAGAGGAGGGAAGCCAUGUUAGAACGAGAGUCUACUACCAACCUUUAUGGUAUGGUUUGACAAAAGCUCUGACAGAAAAGAACAGAUCCAUCUCUCUCGAUGGACUGGUUCAGACCCAUUUUGGGCACUGUCAACAGGAGAUUGGGUGGUGUCGCUUCUUCUUCUUGGCCACUCCCACUCAGAAGGACUGUAGAAGCGUUUACGUUGGUCUUCUUUCUCGCCAUUACUUCCUCGAUCAUUUCUCAAUUCUUAACUAACAACGCUCUGUCCUCUACUCGCCGGAGCAACUGUCAUUUUCCGGCCAUUUUCAACUUCGGAGAUUCCAAUUCUGAUACCGGUGGAAAAUCAGCUGCCUUUCAUAGGCUCCCUUAUCCUAACGGCGAGACCUUCUUCCACAAGCCUUCCGGGAGGUACUGCGAUGGGAAAGUCAUCGUUGAUUUCAUCGCUGAGAAAUUGGGUCUACCAUAUUUGAGUGCUUAUUUGGACUCCAUUGGAACCAACUUUCGACACGGAGCGAAUUUCGCAACUGGAGGGUCAACGAUUCAGUCAGUGGAUGUGAAGGUUUUCGAGGCUGGUUUUAGUCCCAUCUCUUUGGAGAUACAGCUUUUGCAGUUUAAACAAUUCAAAGCUCGGUCUGAUGAGCUAUUCAAUGAAGCUACAAGUUCAAAUCUCAAGAACAGUCUCCCAAGACCAGAGGACUUCUCCAAGGCGUUAUACACUUUCGAUAUUGGACAGAAUGAUCUUCAUUUUGGGUUUAAAGCCAUGGGAGAAGAACAACUAAAGGCAUCUUUUCCUAAAACUAUCGGUACGUUUGCUCAGGCAAUCAAGGAACUAUACCAACUAGGAGCAAGAGCGUUUUGGAUCCAUAACACUGGUCCUAUUGGAUGUUUACCUUAUACUGUUAUACGGAACUCUCCAAAACCUGAAGAUACGAACCAAAAUGGCUGUGUCAAGUCCCAUAAUGAAGUGGCCAAGGAAUUCAACAGGCAGCUCCACCAGAGAAUUUCCCAACUUAGGGUGCAACUACCUGAUGCAGUUAUUACUUAUGUCGACAUCUAUUCAGCCAAGUAUUCUUUAAUCUCUGAAGCAAAGAAGUAUGGUUUUGCUAAUCCACUUGAACAAUGUUGUGGGCAUUAUAGAGAUUACUAUGUCCAAUGUGGGAAGAAAGCAAUGGUAAAUGGGUCUGAGAUCUUUGGGAAUGUAUGCAGUGAUCCAUCAGUAUCCAUUAGUUGGGAUGGUGUGCAUUAUUCUCACGCUGCAAAUAGAUGGGUAGCCCACCAAAUUGAAGAUGGCUCUCUCUCAGACCCUAAAAUUUCCAUUGCUCAAGCUUGUCACAAUCCUGCUGAAUCAUGAUGAAAACGACUAUACCUACAAAUGGCACAAAAAAUUUCGAAUACUCAACACUGCUUCCAAUCAAAGGUGUCAGCUUUCAGACGCAGUCCUUACAGAAGCAUGGGUUCACAAAAUUUCUUGGGAAGAUUGCUGUGGGAGUUAUGUUGUAUACUGUGAGGAAUGACAACAGUUGUGAAUGGGAUUGACUUUGAGGACUGACUCUACCAUAACUGUCAUUUUGUUUUUGUAUAUACUUAACAUCUCUUUUUAAUAAAUGGUAGAAAAAAUAUUUAAAAAAAAAAAAAGAAAAAGACCAUUUUUGAGGCAAAAAGACGACUCCACUGGGGAUCGAACCCAGAAUCUCUGGUUCCGUAGACCAGCGCCUUAUCCAUUGGGCCAUGGAAUCCUGAUAUUAAUUCCUUACAUACCAUAUAUUAUUCAAUUUGACUAAUAAGUG